UACGGAGGGUGCAAGCGUUAAUCGGAAUUACUGGGCGUAAAGCGCGCGUAGGCGGUUUGGUAAGUCGGAUGUGAAAGCCCUGGGCUUAACCUGGGAAUUGCAUUCGAUACUGCCUGACUAGAGUAUGGUAGAGGGAAGUGGAAUUUCCGGUGUAGCGGUGAAAUGCGUAGAUAUCGGAAGGAACACCAGUGGCGAAGGCGACUUCCUGGGCCAAUACUGACGCUGAGGUGCGAAAGCGUGGGGAGCAAACAGG
This 253-nucleotide non-coding RNA is filed under the name uncultured bacterium. RNAcentral describes it as "partial 16S ribosomal RNA". It matches the Rfam family "Bacterial small subunit ribosomal RNA", at positions 524 to 776 of the family's 1533-position model. RNAcentral also lists the same sequence under 2 other names. The record is from RNAcentral.